AUGGCUGCAGCUGCGGGUCGGUUUGGUCUCCCUCGUCGGCGGGCUCGCGGUUGCCGAUGGCCUCGUGGAGAUGUGUGUCGGCUACCAUGGCGGGGCGACAUGGGGGUGCUGGCGGGGGAGCUUGGUAGGAGGGAUAGGUGGCCUCGAUGCGGUCGCGCCACCUAUCGCCGACACGGUUUGCCGGUCCGGAUCCGUCCGCUCCUCCUUCUUCCCCUUUCCCCUUGUUCGGCGGGGAGCUUGGUUGGAGGGAUGGGUGGACUCGAUGUGGUCGCGUCACCCGUCGCCGGCACGGUUUGCCGGUCCGGAUUCGUCCGCUCCCCUUUCUCCCCCUCUCCUCAGCCGCGGGCGGGUUGGCGCAGGUUUACCAGCGGAGCGUCUGUGGGUGGUUUUGUCAGUCGAGGGCCAUUGGUUGGUCCAAAGCUGGGGCCUUUGUGUAGGUCUUGGGGUUGUCUGGUUGUAGGGCGGCGGCUCUGGCGGCGGGAGGCGCGACGUUCGUGGGCGGAGCGUGCGUCUCAGGUGCGGGCAGGCAACCAUGGCCGCGUGGGUGGCGUGGUUGCGGGUGGUUGGCGGAGUUCAGGUUCGACGGCGGGGUGUGAGUGCCGGGGUACACCACCUAUCCAGUACUUUGACUGGCCGACGGUGGCGGUGGCCUUUGCCGCCGUACCCUUCCUGAAGGCUCCGUCGCGGCAUUUCCACUCUUGUCGUCUUGCUCCGGGUGAAAACCUGAUCUUCGCUGAUCGGGCGGUGGCGGCUAUCCAUGGUCGUAUCCUUCUUGGAGGCACCGCUUUGGAGGCCUGGCUUCGUUUUGGUCCGGUUCACCUCUCUAUUGGUAGUCGGUGGGGUGGUGUGUCGGUGCCUGGCACCUUUGUAUCUUGCCUUGGGUGUGUGCGGUGUGUGCGUUGUUCGGUAUCUCGGAUGUACUCGAUGAUGUUUGCUUUAUAA
Molecule: ribosomal RNA, 942 nt
Filed under: Triticum aestivum (bread wheat)
Lineage: Eukaryota; Viridiplantae; Streptophyta; Magnoliopsida; Poales; Poaceae
Description: partial small subunit ribosomal RNA
Source: RNAcentral